This 295-nucleotide long non-coding RNA is filed under the name Elaeis guineensis (African oil palm). RNAcentral describes it as "long non-coding RNA (EGUI_LNC045608)". Lineage: Eukaryota; Viridiplantae; Streptophyta; Magnoliopsida; Arecales; Arecaceae. The record is from RNAcentral.
UUCUAACUUAAUUACCUACUAAUAACCUACAUGAAUAAGAUUCAUGAGACUCCAAUUAUUGGGUGUCUAAGGUUAUGAAUCAUAUAAAUUAAGGGUGCAAGUCCCUAAUUAAUUUUCUUGAUAAUUAUUCUUGGGCGCCACCUUGAUUUGAUCAAGUUGGGCAUGUCUAUUGAUUAAAGAGUUUUUAGUUCUCCUAUGGGGCGUCUCUUGGAUGUAUUUUGGGGUGUCUAAUUAUGGGUGCAAGGGCUCUAAUUAUUGGCGCCUAAAGGGUCUCCUAAAGUAAAUUGGAUAACUU